UACUGUUCAACCUUAAAUACAAAAUAUCCAUCCACCCCACUGUCACCUUCCAGUCCUUUGAAGCUCUCAUAGCACGUAUUCAUGGUCACACACCAACCUUCUUGGCCACUAUCUACCGCCCACCAAAACCUAACCCGACCUUCCUGGACGAACUGUCUGACCUCUUAGCUGACCUCAUCUCUCUGUCAGCCAACAUAAUUCUUCUUGGUGAUUUUAACAUCCACUUCGACAAUCCCAACAACACCACAACAAAAGACUUCAUUUCCUGUCUGGACAGCUUUGGGCUCCAACAAUACAUCACCUCCCCAACACAUUCUCUAGGCCACACCCUCGACUUAGUCUGCUGCUCUGGCGUCACAGCUCAGUCAUGUUCUACCCUCGACACCUCCUUCUCCGACCACAAACUAGUCUGCUUUAACUCCAAACUACCUAUCUUCAAAUCCCACCUCUCCCGCACCAUCACCUUCCGUAACUUAAAGAACAUCGACCUCCCCUCCUUCACUGCUGCUCUCAACAAACUUUCAUGUACUAAUUAUUCACCGUCCCUCUCCAACAUGUUAUCCAAUUUCAACCGUGAGCUACGAAAUCUACUCGACACCUUCGCCCCACUCAAAACUAGAUCUGUAUCCUUUACGCACUCUGCUCCAUGGUACACCCCCGAACUCCGCCUCCUCAAAACCCAAGCCCGUCGCCUUGAACGUCUCUGAAAAAACAGGUUCAUCCACCCACAAGGACUUAUACCUAAACCACAUACUGAAGUACAAGCAAACCAUUACUCAAACAAAAUCUGACUUCUAUGCCUCUCUUAUUGUAUCCGCCUCUGGCUCCACGCGUUCCCUCUUCUCCACUGUCAAAAAUUUAUUGGGCCCUCCCGAUACUCCUCUCUUCCCCUCACUCUCCACCACCUUGUGCAAUAACUUCCUGGAUUUCUUCUCAUCAAAAAUCGAAAAUAUACACCAGCAAUUUCCCCCCAUCUGUGACACUGCGAACUGCCUCCACUGUACCUUACCCUGUCUAUCAGUAUCCUCCCUGCUUUC
This 1037-nucleotide long non-coding RNA is filed under the name Mastacembelus armatus (zig-zag eel). RNAcentral describes it as "lncRNA (ENSMAMG00000028479.1)". Lineage: Eukaryota; Metazoa; Chordata; Actinopteri; Synbranchiformes; Mastacembelidae. The record is from RNAcentral.